UACGGGGGGGGCAAGCGUUGUUCGGAAUUACUGGGCGUAAAGGGCCAGUAGGCGGCCAACUAAGUCCGACGUGAAAUCCCAAGGCUUAACCUUGGAACUGCGUCGGAUACUGGAUGGCUUGAAUUCGGGAGAGGGAUGCAGAAUUCCAGGUGUAGCGGUGAAAUGCGUAGAUAUCAGGAGGAACACCAAUGGCGAAGGCAGCACUCUGGGACGUGACUGACGCUGAGACGCGAAAGCGUGGGGAGCAAACAGG
RNAcentral lists this ribosomal RNA (253 nucleotides) under uncultured bacterium. RNAcentral's name for it is "partial 16S ribosomal RNA". It matches the Rfam family "Bacterial small subunit ribosomal RNA", at positions 524 to 776 of the family's 1533-position model. The record is from RNAcentral.